Molecule: ribosomal RNA, 252 nt
Filed under: uncultured bacterium
Lineage: Bacteria
Description: partial 16S ribosomal RNA
Rfam family: Bacterial small subunit ribosomal RNA
Source: RNAcentral
UACGGAGGAUGCGAGCGUUAUCCGGAUUUAUUGGGUUUAAAGGGUGCGUAGGCGGGCUGUUAAGUCAGCGGUAAAAUUGCGGUGCUCAACGCCGUAGAGCCGUUGAAACUGGCGGCCUUGAGUGGGCGAGAAGUAUGCGGAAUGCGUGGUGUAGCGGUGAAAUGCAUAGAUAUCACGCAGAACCCCGAUUGCGAAGGCAGCAUACCGGCGCCCUACUGACGCUGAGGCACGAAAGUGCGGGUAUCGAACAGG